GAGCUUGCUCCCUGAUGUUAGCGGCGGACGGGUGAGUAACACGUGGGUAACCUGCCUGUAAGACUGGGAUAACUCCGGGAAACCGGGGCUAAUACCGGAUGCUUGAUUGAACCGCAUGGUUCAAUUAUAAAAGGUGGCUUUUAGCUACCACUUACAGAUGGACCCGCGGCGCAUUAGCUAGUUGGUGAGGUAACGGCUCACCAAGGCAACGAUGCGUAGCCGACCUGAGAGGGUGAUCGGCCACACUGGGACUGAGACACGGCCCAGACUCCUACGGGAGGCAGCAGUAGGGAAUCUUCCGCAAUGGACGAAAGUCUGACGGAGCAACGCCGCGUGAGUGAUGAAGGUUUUCGGAUCGUAAAACUCUGUUGUUAGGGAAGAACAAGUACCGUUCGAAUAGGGCGGUACCUUGACGGUACCUAACCAGAAAGCCACGGCUAACUACGUGCCAGCAGCCGCGGUAAUACGUAGGUGGCAAGCGUUGUCCGGAAUUAUUGGGCGUAAAGCGCGCGCAGGCGGUUUCUU
RNAcentral lists this ribosomal RNA (525 nucleotides) under Bacillus sonorensis. Its description in RNAcentral is "bacterial SSU rRNA". It matches the Rfam family "Bacterial small subunit ribosomal RNA", at positions 76 to 584 of the family's 1533-position model. The record is from RNAcentral. Lineage: Bacteria; Bacillati; Bacillota; Bacilli; Caryophanales; Bacillaceae.